RNAcentral lists this ribosomal RNA (495 nucleotides) under Cryptosporidium parvum. Its description in RNAcentral is "partial 18S ribosomal RNA". It matches the Rfam family "Eukaryotic small subunit ribosomal RNA", at positions 568 to 1082 of the family's 1831-position model. Lineage: Eukaryota; Apicomplexa; Conoidasida; Eucoccidiorida; Cryptosporidiidae. The record is from RNAcentral.
CCUAAGCACAGGUAUUCCAUCUCCAUAGCGUAUAUUAAAGUUGUUGCAGUUAAAAAGCUCGUAGUUGGAUUUCUGUUAAUAAUUUAUAUAAAAUAUUUUGAUGAAUAUUUAUAUAAUAUUAACAUAAUUCAUAUUACUAUUUUUUUUAUUAUAUAAAAAAUUUCUUUGAGAAAAAUUUAGUGCUUCAAGCAGGCGGCUUCCUCGUAUACUCCCCCAUGGAAUAAUAAUAAAAAUUUUUUUCUUUUUUAUUGGUGCUAAAAAAAAAAUAAUGAUUAAUAAGGGCGGCUGGGGGCGUCUUUUUUUUACAACCGGAGGUGGAAAUUUUUUUUUUGUUGAAAACAACAUACUGCGGCAGCAUUUUCCGCGGAGGUUUUUUUUUUUUUAAACAACAAAAAAUAGGGGGGCGACGACAACAAGCUACCCCCCGUCGUAUUAAAAAAAAAAAAUAUUCCCCCUAAAGAUUGGGGGGGGUUUUUUACUUCUCUCACCCUCCCU